Molecule: non-coding RNA, 88 nt
Filed under: Bacillus sp. (in: firmicutes)
Lineage: Bacteria; Bacillati; Bacillota; Bacilli; Caryophanales; Bacillaceae
Also listed under: 1 other name
Description: Bacillus sp. c-di-GMP sequence
Rfam family: c-di-GMP-I riboswitch aptamer
About the family: GEMM was predicted in a large-scale screen for bacterial structured RNA regulatory elements. Genes associated with GEMM are involved in a diverse array of functions, including chemotaxis regulation, signal transduction, secretion and chitin.
Source: RNAcentral
CCAGUAUAAAGGCAAACCUGCUGAAAAGCAGGGACGCAAAGCCGUGAGUCUAAGGCAUUUAUAAUGCUAGGAUCGUCAGGCCGCCGUA